GAUGUGUCCAAGUUUGCGCUUAGGUGAGCACAUAAAGCAGAAAUGCUAAGAAUCACCUGGGAAGGUCUGAGGUGCCCAUCAUCCGAGAGGGAAAGCACGAGAGUGCUGAAAUGAUCAACAGAAACAAACCAGUGGCUCUUGAAGCCAUAAACUGUGUUGAAAGGGUCAUAAGGCAUGCCACUUAGUACAAUGCGCAAAGACAUUGUUAACUUAAUUCAGACUACUCUGGUCACAUC
This 236-nucleotide RNase P RNA is filed under the name Blepharisma stoltei. It matches the Rfam family "Nuclear RNase P". Rfam says of the family: Ribonuclease P (RNase P) is a ubiquitous endoribonuclease, found in archaea, bacteria and eukarya as well as chloroplasts and mitochondria. Its best characterised activity is the generation of mature 5'-ends of tRNAs by cleaving the 5'-leader elements of precursor-tRNAs. Cellular RNase Ps are ribonucleoproteins. Lineage: Eukaryota; Ciliophora; Heterotrichea; Heterotrichida; Blepharismidae. The record is from RNAcentral.